This 484-nucleotide ribosomal RNA is filed under the name uncultured bacterium. RNAcentral describes it as "partial 16S ribosomal RNA". It matches the Rfam family "Bacterial small subunit ribosomal RNA", at positions 30 to 507 of the family's 1533-position model. The record is from RNAcentral.
AUUGAACGCUGGCGGCAGGCCUAACACAUGCAAGUCGAGCGGAUGAAGGGAGCUUGCUCCUGGAUUCAGCGGCGGACGGGUGAGUAAUGCCUAGGAAUCUGCCUGGUAGUUGGGGAUAACGUCCGGAAACGGGCGCUAAUACCGCAUACGUCCUGAGGGAGAAAGUGGGGGAUCUUCGGACCUCACGCUAUCAGAUGAGCCUAGGUCGGAUUAGCUAGUUGGUGGGGUAAAGGCCUACCAAGGCGACGAUCCGUAGCUGGUCUGAGAGGAUGAUCAGUCACACUGGAACUGAGACACGGUCCAGACUCCUACGGGAGGCAGCAGUGGGGAAUAUUGGACAAUGGGUGAAAGCCUGAUCCAGCCAUGCCGCGUGUGUGAAGAAGGUCUUCGGAUUGUAAAGCACUUUAAGUUGGGAGGAAGGGCAGUAAGUUAAUACCUUGCUGUUUUGACGUUACCAACAGAAUAAGCACCGGCUAACUUCGUG